RNAcentral lists this ribosomal RNA (776 nucleotides) under uncultured Neocallimastigales. RNAcentral's name for it is "partial large subunit ribosomal RNA". It matches the Rfam family "Eukaryotic large subunit ribosomal RNA", at positions 26 to 614 of the family's 3401-position model. The record is from RNAcentral. Lineage: Eukaryota; Fungi; Neocallimastigomycota; Neocallimastigomycetes; Neocallimastigales.
CGUCUAUAUACGUAUAGCAUAUCAAUAAGCGGAGGAAAAGAAACUAACAAGGAUUCCCUUAGUAACGGCGAGUGAGGCGGGAAGAGCUCAAAUUUGAAAUCUUCAAGGUUCUACCUUGACGAAUUGUAGUUUAAAGAAGUGUUUUCUGUUAGAGGAGUAGCAAAAGUUCCUUGGAAUGGGACAUCAUAGAGGGUGAGAAUCCCGUAUUUGGUUAUUCUUUCUAGCUUUGUGAUACACUUUCAAAGAGUCGGAUUGUUUGGGAAUGCAGUCCAAAAUGGGUGGUAAAUUUCAUCUAAAGCUAAAUAUUGGCGAGAGACCGAUAGCGAACAAGUACCGUGAGGGAAAGAUGAAAAGAACUUUGAAAAGAGAGUUAAACAGUACGUGAAAUUGUCAAAAGGGAAGCGUUUGACACCAGUGUUGUUUUUUCCGAAAAUCAAUUAAGAGUGGCUUGAUUUUGUGUUGUAUUGACCUUAUCAGCUUUCUUCACUCUUUUUCGAGUCUUUCUUAAUGCACUUUUCGGUUGACAAGUCAACAUCAAUUUCUUUUGUUGUAAAAGGGUAUUUGGAAGGUGGCUUUCUUUUCGGAGAAAGUGUUUAUAGCCUUAUACCUCUACAAUCGGAGAGAUUGAGGUCUGCAGCGUAGAUCCUUUGGGGCUAGAUACACUUGUGCUAAGUUAUAGCUUUUCAUAGACAACUUGUUGACUAUGUUUAGUCAUGUAGCUUACCCGCUUGUGCUAUUUUACCUACGCUUAGGAUGUUGAGUCAUCACACAUCUCU